GAGAGUAAAACAGUACGUGAAAUUGUUGAAAGGGAAACGAUUGAAGUCAGUCAUGCCGGCGUUGGAUUCAGCUUGCUUCGCGGAGCGGGCGCAUUUCCUCGCAUGGCAGGUCAGCGUCAGUUUUGCGCGGCGUGAAAAGGCUCGGGUAAGGUAGCUCUCUUCGGGGAGUGUUAUAGACCUGGGCAGAUGCGCUGCGCGGGACUGAGGAUUGCAGCGGACAUCCCUUCGGGGGCGCGGCGACCGAACCCUGCUCGGCCACCCGAGUUCGAUAGCGUGCUAACGGACGCGGGAGCGGCAGUGCACCGGAACAGGCAAGCCAGCAGUUCGCUUAGGAUGCUGACGUAAUGGCUUUAAACGA
This 358-nucleotide ribosomal RNA is filed under the name uncultured Archaeospora. RNAcentral's name for it is "partial 28S ribosomal RNA". Lineage: Eukaryota; Fungi; Glomeromycota; Glomeromycetes; Archaeosporales; Archaeosporaceae. The record is from RNAcentral.